RNAcentral lists this non-coding RNA (103 nucleotides) under Oceanimonas sp. GK1. RNAcentral describes it as "TPP riboswitch aptamer (THI element)". It matches the Rfam family "TPP riboswitch aptamer (THI element)". Rfam says of the family: Vitamin B(1) in its active form thiamin pyrophosphate (TPP) is an essential coenzyme that is synthesised by coupling of pyrimidine and thiazole moieties in bacteria. The previously detected thiamin-regulatory element, thi box was extended, resulting in a new, highly conserved RNA secondary structure, the THI element, which is widely distributed in eubacteria and also occurs in some archaea. Analysis of operon structures identified a large number of new candidate thiamin-regulated genes, mostly transporters, in various prokaryotic organisms. RNAcentral also lists the same sequence under 1 other name. The record is from Rfam by way of RNAcentral. Lineage: Bacteria; Pseudomonadati; Pseudomonadota; Gammaproteobacteria; Aeromonadales; Aeromonadaceae.
UGCGAUUGGUCGGGGAGCCGAAAGGCCGAGACGGCAGUGAUAUGCCGAACCCGUUGAACCUGAUCCAGUUAACACUGGCGUAGGGAACCGAUGGCCGAUGGCC